UGAGGGAUCUUACGCAAUGGGGGAAACCCUGACGCAGCAACGCCGCGUGAGUGAAGAAGGCCUUCGGGUCGUAAAGCUCUGUCAGAUGGGAAGAAAUGGAUGGGGGCUAAUAUCGUCCAUCCUUGACGGUACCAUCAGAGGAAGCACCGGCUAACUCCGUGCCAGCAGCCGCGGUAAUACGGAGGGAGCUAGCGUUGUUCGGAAUUACUGGGCGUAAAGGGCGCGUAGGCGGUGAUAUAAGUCAGAUGUGAAAACCAUCGGCUUAACCGAUUGGAUUGCAUUUGAUACUGUAUCACUUGAGUUCAGUAGAGGCAAGUGGAAUUCCUAGUGUAGCGGUGAAAUGCGUAGAUAUUAGGAGGAACACCAGUGGCGAAGGCGACUUGCUGGACAUUAACUGACGCUGAGGCGCGAAAGCGUGGGGAGCAAACA
Molecule: ribosomal RNA, 429 nt
Filed under: uncultured prokaryote
Description: bacterial SSU rRNA
Rfam family: Bacterial small subunit ribosomal RNA
Source: RNAcentral